UUUCUGGUGGUCCAGUGGUUAAGAUUCUGCACUUCCAAUGCAGGGGGUAUGAGUUCGAACCCUGGUCGGAGAA
Molecule: transfer RNA, 73 nt
Filed under: Bos taurus (domestic cattle)
Lineage: Eukaryota; Metazoa; Chordata; Mammalia; Artiodactyla; Bovidae
Also listed under: 2 other names
Rfam family: tRNA
About the family: Transfer RNA (tRNA) molecules are approximately 80 nucleotides in length. Their secondary structure includes four short double-helical elements and three loops (D, anti-codon, and T loops).
Source: Rfam by way of RNAcentral